CCUUCUUCAAAUGUUGAGACUGGGCAUGAAA
Molecule: non-coding RNA, 31 nt
Filed under: Homo sapiens (human)
Lineage: Eukaryota; Metazoa; Chordata; Mammalia; Primates; Hominidae
Source: RNAcentral